Molecule: ribosomal RNA, 510 nt
Filed under: uncultured bacterium
Lineage: Bacteria
Description: partial 16S ribosomal RNA
Rfam family: Bacterial small subunit ribosomal RNA
Source: RNAcentral
GACGAACGCUGGCGGCGUGCUUAACACAUGCAAGUCGAACGAAGAGCGAUGGAUGCUUUCUUCUCUCAAUCUUAGUGGCGUACGGGUGAGUAACGCGUAAUCAACCUGCCCUUCAGAGGGGGACCACAGUUGGAAACGACUGCUGAUACCACAUACGAACCGACCUCGGCAUCGAGGAGGGAUUGAAGGUGGCGUCUAUUUAUAAGCAAUCACUGAAGGAGGGGAUUGGGUGUGAUUAGCUAGGUGGAGGGGUAACGGCCCAACAAGGUAAUGAGCAGUAGCCGGACUGAGAGGAUGAACGGCCGCAGUUGGAAGGAGACACGGCCCAGAAUCGUAAGGGAGGCAGCAGUGGGGAACCUUCCGCAAGGGACGAAAGGCUGACGGCGGAACGCCGCGUGAGUGAGGAGGGCCUUCGGGUUGUAAAGGUCGGUUAAUCGGGACGAAAGGUCUUCUUGCGAAUAGGAAGAAGAAUUGACGGUACCGGAAGAGAAAGCCACGGCUAACUACGUG